This is a long non-coding RNA of Ornithorhynchus anatinus (platypus), 883 nucleotides long. RefSeq lists it as uncharacterized. Lineage: Eukaryota; Metazoa; Chordata; Mammalia; Monotremata; Ornithorhynchidae. The record is from RefSeq and is a predicted model, not a curated record. The transcript has 2 exons.
GAGCCAGACUUUCUUUGCUCUCAUAACUCUUCUGCGGAAAGACAGUUGAGACUGGAGAUUGCUUGUGAAGUACCCAAGAAGGAAAGAGGGCACAUUGUGACCCGUCCGAUGAAGCCCUCGGAGCUACGGAAGAACCGGCCACCUGGCUAGGUAGAAAGUCUCUUGGAUGAUGCUCGCCAAGAAGGAGGUUGUCAUUUGAAAGGAAAGGGAAGCAAGAGCUAAUCCGCAGGGGUGGAUAUAAAUCCCAAUGUGGCAGAGUCAAGUGGCAUCAGGACCGAGGAAUGUAAAAAGAUAUCAGUGGGGAGGCAUAUCUCUCCAACACCCCACGAGAGAUUCUUCAUUUACUCAAGCUGUCACCAGCAGGGGAUGGCUCCAGACACUCUCAAAUACAACCCGCAACCAAGGAGCUCAACUACAGAACAUGAUGUAAAUGCUGCACUGCCAUGUUAGAGUCUGAUAACGGACUGCAUUCCUGACUGGCUAUUAUUUUAGUCUCUCCUGAUAAGAGAGAAAUGAUAAUAAUGUAACCUCCCGCCCUUCCAAGGCAGAGAGCAGCAGACUCUAAUUCUUAGUCUGUGUCUGUAUUAAAAAGGUUCAUCGAAUGGCAGCCACUGAUCACGCAGUGCUAAGGAUGGUUAGUCAGACUCCUGGAUCCCUAAAUAUUGAUUUAUGUUAUCAUUGUUCUGUUUGCCUCUGCCAAGAAAAGUAAUAGCUCACUAUGUUUGUGGCUUUUUGUUCUUAAUAGAAAACAACCUCACACCUCCCAAAAUAAAAUCAUGAACUGCAAUUGGAUUAAUGAGCCUCAGGCAACUUUUUAACAAAAUGUAACAGAUUCUAAAUUGAAUUCCAUGAGUUAUUAAAUGACAGGUGUGUUUUGUUUUAA